AGUGCAUCUCCAAAACCAAAAUACAAAGC
RNAcentral lists this small RNA (29 nucleotides) under Bombyx mori (domestic silkworm). RNAcentral describes it as "ovarian small RNA-12302". The record is from RNAcentral. Lineage: Eukaryota; Metazoa; Arthropoda; Insecta; Lepidoptera; Bombycidae.